UACGUAGGGAGCGAGCGUUAUCCGGAUUUAUUGGGCGUAAAGCGUGUGUAGGCGGUUAAUUAAGUCUAAAAUUAAAACCUGAGGCUCAACCUCAGUUCGUUUUAGAAACUGAUUAGCUUGAGUAUAGUAGAGGCAAGUGGAAUUUCUAGUGUAGCGGUAAAAUGUGUAGAUAUUAGAAGGAACACCAGUGGCGAAGGCGACUUGCUGGACUAUCACUGACGCUGAGGCACGAAAGCGUGGGGAGCAAAUAGG
Molecule: ribosomal RNA, 252 nt
Filed under: uncultured bacterium
Lineage: Bacteria
Description: partial 16S ribosomal RNA
Rfam family: Bacterial small subunit ribosomal RNA
Source: RNAcentral